Small nucleolar RNA from Chelydra serpentina (North American snapping turtle), 91 nucleotides. The record is from Ensembl. NCBI's taxonomy places the organism in Eukaryota, Metazoa, Chordata, Testudines, Chelydridae.
UGGAGAUGGCCAGGAUGGUGUAAGUCAGAAUGUCUGAACCGGGCGGAAGUUUUGCUGAUGAACCCUUUAUGGCUCUGAGGCUUCUCUGGUG